This 1443-nucleotide ribosomal RNA is filed under the name metagenome. RNAcentral describes it as "bacterial SSU rRNA". It matches the Rfam family "Bacterial small subunit ribosomal RNA". The record is from RNAcentral.
AGAGUUUGAUCCUGGCUCAGGAUGAACGCUGGCGGCGUGCUUAACACAUGCAAGUCGAACGAGCCUUCGGGCUAGUGGCGGACGGGUGAGUAACGCGUUAGAAUCUGCCCUCAGGAGGGGGAUAACGGCUGGAAACGGCCGCUAAUACCCCAUAUGCCGCGAGGUGAAAUGAGAAAUCGCCUGAGGAUGAGCUCGCGUCUGAUUAGCUAGUUGGUGGGGUAAGAGCCUACCAAGGCAUCGAUCAGUAGCUGGUCUGAGAGGAUGAUCAGCCACACUGGGACUGAGACACGGCCCAGACUCCUACGGGAGGCAGCAGUGGGGAAUUUUCCGCAAUGGGCGCAAGCCUGACGGAGCAACGCCGCGUGAGGGAUGAAGGCCUCUGGGCUGUAAACCUCUUUUCUCAAGGAAGAAGAACUGACGGUACUUGAGGAAUAAGCCACGGCUAAUUCCGUGCCAGCAGCCGCGGUAAUACGGGAGUGGCAAGCGUUAUCCGGAAUUAUUGGGCGUAAAGCGUCCGCAGGCGGUCUUGAAAGUCUGUUGUUAAAGCGUGGAGCUCAACUCCAUUUCAGCAAUGGAAACUAGAAGACUAGAGUGUGGUAGGGGCAGAGGGAAUUCCCGGUGUAGCGGUGAAAUGCGUAGAUAUCGGGAAGAACACCAGUGGCGAAGGCGCUCUGCUGGGCCAUAACUGACGCUCAUGGACGAAAGCCAGGGGAGCGAAAGGGAUUAGAUACCCCUGUAGUCCUGGCCGUAAACGAUGAACACUAGGUGUCGGGGGAAUCGACCCCCUCGGUGUCGUAGCCAACGCGUUAAGUGUUCCGCCUGGGGAGUACGCACGCAAGUGUGAAACUCAAAGGAAUUGACGGGGGCCCGCACAAGCGGUGGAGUAUGUGGUUUAAUUCGAUGCAACGCGAAGAACCUUACCAGGGUUUGACAUCCUGCGAAUCUUUUGGAAACAGAAGAGUGCCUUCGGGAGCGCAGAGACAGGUGGUGCAUGGCUGUCGUCAGCUCGUGUCGUGAGAUGUUGGUUAAGUCCCGCAACGAGCGCAACCCACGUCUUUAGUUGCCAGCAUUGAGUUGGGCACUCUAGAGAGACCGCCGGUGAUAAACCGGAGGAAGGUGUGGAUGACGUCAAGUCAUCAUGCCCCUUACAUCCUGGGCUACACACGUACUACAAUGCUACGGACAGAGGGCAGCAAACUCGCGAGAGCUAGCAAAUCCCAUAAACCGUGGCUCAGUUCAGAUCGUAGGCUGCAACUCGCCUACGUGAAGGAGGAAUCGCUAGUAAUCGCAGGUCAGCAUACUGCGGUGAAUACGUUCCCGGGCCUUGUACACACCGCCCGUCACACCAUGGAAGUUGGCCAUGCCCGAAGUCGUUACUCCAACCCUUGUGGAGGAGGACGCCGAAGGUGGGGCUGAUGACUGGGGUGAAGUCGGAACAAGGUA